UUAUUGUACCCGGUUUAACUUAAGCAUAUCAAUAAGCGGAGGAAAAGAAACCAACAGGGAUUCCCCUAGUAACGGCGAGUGAAGCGGGAACAGCUCAAAUUUGAAAUCUGGCCCUCGGGUCCGAGUUGUAAUUUGCAGAGGAUGCUUUUGGCGCGGUGCCUUCCGAGUUCCCUGGAACGGGACGCCUUAGAGGGUGAGAGCCCCGUACGGUUGGCCACCAAGCCUGUGUAAAGCUCCUUCGACGAGUCGAGUAGUUUGGGAAUGCUGCUCAAAACGGGAGGUAUAUUUCUUCUAAAGCUAAAUACUGGCCAGAGACCGAUAGCGCACAAGUAGAGUGAUCGAAAGAUGAAAAGCACUUUGAAAAGAGGGUUAAAUAGCACGUGAAAUUGUUGAAAGGGAAGGGUUUAUGACCAGACUUUUUCUAGGGGGAUCAUCCGGUGUUCUCACCGGUGCACUUCCCCUAGUUGAGGCCAGCAUCGGUUUCCGCCGGGGGAUAAAAGCUUCGGGAAUGUGGCUCCUUCGGGAGUGUUAUAGCCCGCUGCAUAAUACCCUGGCGGGGACCGAGGUUCGCGCAUUCGCAAGGAUGCUGGCGUAAUGGUUAUUAACCACCCGUCUUGAAACACGGACCAAGGAGUCGAACAUUUGUGCGAGUGUUUGGGUGUUAAACCCUCACGCGUAAUGAAAGUGAACGGAGGUGAGAGCCUUUAGGGGUGCAUCAUCGACCGAUCCUGAUGUCUUCGGAUGGAUUUGAGUAGGAGCAUCACUGUUCGGACCCGAAAGAUGGUGAACUAUGCGUGGAUAGGGUGAAGCCAGAGGAAACUCUGGUGGAGGCUCGCAGCGGUUCUGACGUGCAAAUCGAUCGUCAAAUCUGCGCAUGGGGCGAAAGACUAA
RNAcentral lists this ribosomal RNA (891 nucleotides) under Apiospora yunnana. Its description in RNAcentral is "eukaryotic LSU rRNA". It matches the Rfam family "Eukaryotic large subunit ribosomal RNA", at positions 22 to 934 of the family's 3401-position model. Lineage: Eukaryota; Fungi; Ascomycota; Sordariomycetes; Amphisphaeriales; Apiosporaceae. The record is from RNAcentral.